GGGUAGAGCUCAGUGGUACAGCGUGUGCUUAGCAUGCACAAAGUCCUGGGUUCAAUCCCCAGUACUUCCA
Molecule: transfer RNA, 70 nt
Filed under: Camelus bactrianus (Bactrian camel)
Lineage: Eukaryota; Metazoa; Chordata; Mammalia; Artiodactyla; Camelidae
Also listed under: 2 other names
Rfam family: tRNA
About the family: Transfer RNA (tRNA) molecules are approximately 80 nucleotides in length. Their secondary structure includes four short double-helical elements and three loops (D, anti-codon, and T loops). Further hydrogen bonds mediate the characteristic L-shaped molecular structure. tRNAs have two regions of fundamental functional importance: the anti-codon, which is responsible for specific mRNA codon recognition, and the 3' end, to which the tRNAs corresponding amino acid is attached (by aminoacyl-tRNA synthetases). tRNAs cope with the degeneracy of the genetic code in two manners: having more than one tRNA (with a specific anti-codon) for a particular amino acid; and 'wobble' base-pairing, i.e. permitting non-standard base-pairing at the 3rd anti-codon position.
Source: Rfam by way of RNAcentral